UACGGGGGGGGCAAGCGUUGUUCGGAAUUACUGGGCGUAAAGGGUUCGUAGGCGGCCAACUAAGUCGGAUGUGAAAUCCCCAGGCUCAACCUGGGAACUGCAUCCGAUACUGGAUGGCUUGAAUUCGGGAGAGGGAUGCAGAAUUCCAGGUGUAGCGGUGAAAUGCGUAGAUAUCUGGAGGAAUACCGGUGGCGAAGGCGGCAUCCUGGACCGACAUUGACGCUGAGGAGCGAAAGCCAGGGGAGCAAACGGG
Molecule: ribosomal RNA, 253 nt
Filed under: uncultured bacterium
Lineage: Bacteria
Description: partial 16S ribosomal RNA
Rfam family: Bacterial small subunit ribosomal RNA
Source: RNAcentral